RNAcentral lists this ribosomal RNA (400 nucleotides) under uncultured bacterium. RNAcentral describes it as "bacterial SSU rRNA". It matches the Rfam family "Bacterial small subunit ribosomal RNA", at positions 356 to 773 of the family's 1533-position model. The record is from RNAcentral.
GGGGAAUAUUGGACAAUGGGCGAAAGCCUGAUCCAGCCAUGCCGCGUGAAUGAUGAAGGUCUUAGGAUUGUAAAAUUCUUUCACCGGGGACGAUAAUGACGGUACCCGGAGAAGAAGCCCCGGCUAACUUCGUGCCAGCAGCCGCGGUAAUACGAAGGGGGCUAGCGUUGCUCGGAAUUACUGGGCGUAAAGGGCGCGUAGGCGGAUCGUUAAGUCAGGGGUGAAAUCCCGGGGCUCAACCCCGGAAUUGCCUUUGAUACUGGCGAUCUUGAGUAUGAGAGAGGUAUGUGGAACUCCGAGUGUAGAGGUGAAAUUCGUAGAUAUUCGGAAGAACACCAGUGGCGAAGGCGACAUACUGGCUCAUUACUGACGCUGAGGCGCGAAAGCGUGGGGAGCAAAC